Molecule: unclassified non-coding RNA, 312 nt
Filed under: uncultured fungus
Lineage: Eukaryota; Fungi
Description: partial contains 5.8S ribosomal RNA, internal transcribed spacer 2, and large subunit ribosomal RNA
Rfam family: 5.8S ribosomal RNA (bases 1-52)
Source: RNAcentral
AACGCACCUUGCGCUCCUUGGUAUUCCGAGGAGCAUGCCUGUUUGAGUGUCAUUAAAUCUUCAACCAUGCAAGUUGUAAUAAACUGGCGUGGCUUGGAUAUGGGGACUUUUGCUGGCUCUCUUUGAGUUUAGCUGCCCUGAAAUGCAUUAGUGCAAGGGACCAUCCUGUUGCUAAUCUCUGGUGUGAUAUAACAAUCUACGCCAAUGGAAAGCUUCAAGUUUUCACAGUACCUUGGCUUCUAACAGUCCUUAUUAUAGGACAAUUUUGACACAUCUGACCUCAAAUCAGGUAGGACUACCCGCUGAACUUAA